AGAUACAUUUAUGUGCAAAGUGUUUACGUUUCCUUAUGCUCUUAUAUGCGAUUAAAUAUGCAUGGAAUGCUAGUGGACCUUCGGGUUCUAGAGAAAGAGACAUGAAAUUUCUACAUGGAAAUUAAGAGGACCUAAGAUAGGUGUGUCGCUUGGUCACCGAUAUACUCCAUAAGAGAAGAGCGAUUAGUUCGGGUCGAUUGGAACAGUAGAGAAUUGGUGAUGCGGACUGCCAAGUGGAUAAAGAAUAGA
This is a long non-coding RNA of Olea europaea var. sylvestris, 249 nucleotides long. RefSeq lists it as uncharacterized. The transcript is spliced from 2 exons. The record is from RefSeq and is a predicted model, not a curated record. Lineage: Eukaryota; Viridiplantae; Streptophyta; Magnoliopsida; Lamiales; Oleaceae.